This 655-nucleotide long non-coding RNA is filed under the name Lathyrus oleraceus (garden pea). RNAcentral's name for it is "Pisum sativum (pea) long non-coding RNA (PSAT_LNC040763)". The record is from RNAcentral. Lineage: Eukaryota; Viridiplantae; Streptophyta; Magnoliopsida; Fabales; Fabaceae.
AAAAUCUGCAAAAGUUGUUUCAUCCAUUGAUGAAUAAACAAAUAAAGAAGAAGGAGAAAGCAAUAUGAGGAAAGGCCUGAUACCAUAUCAAUGUAACAGUAAAUGAAAGAAUUGAAAGAGGAAUAAGGAGAAUUUAUUAAUAACCAUCAUAGGGUUCUAUUACAGAUAGAUGAUAAGUUUUACAAGUAAAAUCUUUUAUUUCUAUAAUACAGAAGGACACUAUUUAUAGUGAGACUUAACAAUUAUCCUAAAACCAAGGAGAGUAAAAAUAGAAAUUUUAUUACCAUGUUGAAAGUGAUAGCGAAUAACAGAAUAAUCUAACUAUUUAAUCUAAGGUAUCAUUAUGUAAUUCUUUCCUUGAGCAAGAAGAAAAUAUACAUGCUGUACAAUUCUCUGGACUAGCCUGAAAUUUUUUCUUAGCAACACCUCACUUCCUAUAUAUAACUGUACUCUUAUGUAAUUUGAAUGCCAACAACAUUUCAAUUAACAAUUAGAUAAAUAGAUAAUAAUGAGCCCAUAUAGAUGACAUUUAUGCUACAAUCUGCUCUGCCCAUGGAGAUGACAUUUGUUUAAAGAGAUCAUAAUGCUGCUUCUCAGCACCAUAUACCUCAGAACUCUCGGAAGAAACCAAAGAAUGAACCCAAGAGACAUCCGG